This 480-nucleotide long non-coding RNA is filed under the name Vulpes vulpes (red fox). Its description in RNAcentral is "lncRNA (ENSVVUG00000022025.1)". Lineage: Eukaryota; Metazoa; Chordata; Mammalia; Carnivora; Canidae. The record is from RNAcentral.
AAAGGAUUGAGAGAAGUUGAACAUGAACAAAAUGAAGAUUGUUUAAAUGUUCACAUUUUGACACCUGAAAAACCUUGUCACAACAUUCCAUUCUUUCUAGAUGUGAUUAUCUAUGCAAUGCUACUGUGACAUAGUGGUGACUAUAAGAUACUGAGAAUGUAGAUAGUUGAAUGUGUUUCUUCUUCCAUUCCCAUUUGUGGGAGAGAAGGUUGGCCUUACAUCUCUUCUUGCUCUAUUGUCAGAAUGCUGCCUGGUUUCAUUUAUUCACAGUUCUGGAAGGGGCCCUCCAGAGGUCACCAUUCCAUGUAUCUGCCACCUGUCAGGGAUGCUUCUAAGCUGUGCAGACAGAUGGGUACCCUACUAAUGUUUUGCUCCACCAUGUAAGUUUCAUUUUUUUUCUUUCUCUGUCUUUCAUUAUUCCUUUUUCUGUGCCUUUGGGCUAUAAUUACCCAGAAGAAUAAAUAAAUAAAUAUAUAUACA